UGAUUUUCUUACCUUAUUUGGUUUUCCUAUUUCUUGAAGGACAACAUAUUUACUAGCUUCAAGAUUUGCUAGUAAAGCAAACCUUGAAUAAUAAUAAAUCAUACAAUAAAAGAGAAAUAUACCAAAAGAUACACUAACAUUUAACGCGAUUAGGUCAAUUUGACCUAUAUCCAGGGGCGGAGAUGAGUAAUCCACUGUAUAAAUGACAGUACAAAAUAUUGAGACAACGACCUCACAACGAGGCAAAACACAAGUGAUACACUAACACUUGUCUCGAAAAAUUCUCAUUCCUAAACAAGACUCUCAAACCAAUGGCAGGCUCAGAAUUUUAUACAAGUGGAUUCAGUCAAAGAUCACGAUAAUCAAUUGCAUAAGCACAUCAGUAAAUAAAAAUUGUACAAUGUUCUUGUUCAUCAAAUGACUUCAAAAUAGAGCAAUUUACUUAAGAAAAAAGGUAUGGGAAACUUUUUAAAAAAUAACAAAGAAAAUUUGGUCCUUCAAAAUUUUAUCUAUAUAAAUUAAUACAUAUUUUGCAGCAAAUUUAGCAAGUUUUUAAUAAAAAUGUAUUUAACAAACUUAAACCAUACUAUAACUCAAAGAAAUUUAAUUGAACUUAUAAUCCACUUUUAAACCAAAUUAAUCUAACUUUAAAAGGUUGUGGAAUUAAUAAUACAGAACCCCCACAUUGAUUAUUAAAAGGGGUUCAAGCUAACCGUAGGCAUAUCUACCAAUGGCUAUUGGCCUGAACAAAUAAGGGAACGCAACCAGCUCAUCAAAGGGGCCCAAAUUGAGAGCCCACCCUCUGAGAGAGGAGUCUCAGUCUGAUCAAAAUCAUAUGCCAAUAACCAAUAGCUCCAAACUAAAGAACAUAAACAAGUACCGAUGGUAUUGACAAAUGAAACACACCUUGAUGCCAAUGUACAUUCCAUAAUAAAAUUACCCUUUCAAGUGUGACUACGACUCAUACAGAUAUGGUUUCUCAUGAACUCAAAAUUUCAUUAUAUGCCAGACAAUUUCAGAACCACUUCAUCUAUUAACAAUGACACAAAUCGACUAGCUCACAUUUCUUAAUUCGAAAAGGCUUAUAAAUAAACUGAAAGUAAACCAGCUAGGCCUUUACUCACCUUCACCAUUUUGCCUUCUUCUUUUCAUAUGAAUUUGCAGUAUCUAAUACUCAAUAACUUAAGCUCAGACAAGCUCUUCUCAACACUAUCAGGAUCCAAAACAACUAGCAUGCAAAUUUCUUGAACCUCAAAAUUCCACCCAGAUUUCAACCGCAUGAAUUUGUUCCUUUAAUAAAUGGGAACAGGAGGAGAAAAUUGAAAGCAAACAUGUAAAUAUUGAAUGGAUUUUCCUAUCACUCACACAUGUGAAUAGAAAUAUAAUCUAUCUAAGUUAUACCUCAUAUUAGAACACCCUAUAUCAUUAUUCAUAGAACUUAGAAGGCAAAACACAUCAUCCACUCAAAAUCUAACAUUAUGUUAAGCUCUCAAAAGAAUAACCUCACUUUCACAGUUCAUGAAUAACCAGAUAACUUCAGUAACAAGUAUAUUACAAAUUGCACUAUACAAUGUAAAGAAAAAGAAGAACAUAAGAUGUAACUUCAAUUACAACUUGGAUUCAAUCAGCUUUUCAUUCAAAAUACAUGCUCGCAAUCAAAUUAUUGUCCAUGGUUAGGAAGAUUACCUGGAUGCAGCAAUAUAGAAUCAGAAAUUUAGCUUUGGACUAGGAAGAAAACAGCAGUGGAAAAACUCAGUAAUGCAACAGUUGUAGCAAUUGAAACCCACCCCAAUUCGGAAUUCUCUUAAACCCAGAUACACAACCUCAGAAGUUUUCAACAACUAUCAACUAUUCAGAAGAAUCACAGAACCAAAACCAAGCCUGAUUUUAGUAGUUUUCAACUAGAAAAUGCAAGGAAUUUAGGGGUUUUGCAGUCGUUCAGUUUUCAGGUUUUUUAAGUCCCUAAAAUCUUACUUGAAUAUCAAGUAAUGAUGCCUUUAUAACCAAUGCAUUAGGGCAGCCUGAAGGGAUUUAGUAUUGCAUUUAAAACCUUUUGCAUUUUUGGUUUUUACUCCCAUACCCUUAAUGUAAAUUCAGAAUUUCAGUUUAAUUCUUACCCCUGCUUCUAGGAAGCUUUCUCAAUCAGUUAUUUAGAGAUUCUCUAUAGAGACUUCAUAAUUUACCCCUUUAAACCUUGUUAAUUACCCUAAGAAAAUUCAUGGAUCAAUUUGAUCCAAAUACUCAAACCAGCCUGAUUUUAUAAGAUUUGGGAUAAUCUCUUUUCUUUAGGCCCAAGUCUAAAAAAAAACUCAGAAGAAACGAGAAGGCGGAAAGAGGGCAAAUGCUCAAUUGGGCCUGGUGAACCCAAAGUUCUUAACAGCCUAAAACUAAAAGGGAAAAGAACAUUAAACGAAAACUAAUCUAAUGGAUCUAAACAAAACUAGAGUAGAUAACAACUAUGUUCAAUCCUGAACUAAAAGAAACGCAUGCAAGGAUGACCGUGAGAAAACAGAAGAAAAACAGAAAAACAGAAAAACAGAAGAAGAUAAGAAAAAUGGAAAAAGAGAAAACACUGGACAUACCUAUCAAAAUUAGGUAAACAUCAGUUUUGAACCAAUCUUGAGGAGUCUUCAAUUUUUUGGCUGAAACAAACCCUAAUCGUGUGUUCUUGACUGAAAACGUGCGAUUAGAGUCAAAUUCGACCUCAAAUUCUCAAAAGCCUCGCUGAUUUGAUUUUUGGGAUUUAGGGUUCAUAUCUUUAAAUUAAGAUUCGAGCAUUUCUAGGGAGAUCCGAGGAAAACAGAGUAGGGAUAUGGAAUGAGGAGGUCUUGGGGGUUGUGUGAUGUUAAUUUAGGCUAGUUCGGAUGUGGCGCCGCCAAACGGAUGCGGUGGAAAAAGGGGGCAGUGGUUUAGGGUUAGGGAUCGUUGUCUCUGAGAAUAGGGGGAAUGAGAGAGACGAUGAGAGAGAGGAAUAACAAUUUGGACACUUAUAUACUAAGAACAACCUAGUUCCUGGCCGUAUG
This 3023-nucleotide long non-coding RNA is filed under the name Nicotiana benthamiana. Its description in RNAcentral is "long non-coding RNA (NBEN_LNC009573)". Lineage: Eukaryota; Viridiplantae; Streptophyta; Magnoliopsida; Solanales; Solanaceae. The record is from RNAcentral.